Nymphaea colorata (pocket water lily) is the source of this 4224-nucleotide RNA transcript. RefSeq lists it as uncharacterized. The record is from RefSeq and is a predicted model, not a curated record. Lineage: Eukaryota; Viridiplantae; Streptophyta; Magnoliopsida; Nymphaeales; Nymphaeaceae. The transcript has 8 exons.
AUCAGGAGCCCAAAUCCGCUACUAGGGUUCCACCAUUUCCGAUGAGGUGUGUCCAUCUCCGCGUAACACUAUAAAAUUCCAAGUAUUGACCUUUAUUUUUGAAAAAAAGGAACGUUUGGGGCCAAAAGUGUUAAUCCAAACCUUGGUCCUCUACAAUCCCCCGUCACCUCGCGGGUUCCUGAUUUUUCCUUUCGUUUUCUCUCUCCUCUGCCGGACCGUCUUUUCCUUCCGAUGGUUUCUCUGAAAAACAGUCGCCGAUCCCGACUAGCUCCUGCCACCCCGCCAAAUGUAACGGAAGGCAGCGACCCACAGUCUUCGGACGAGUAUAACCCAAGUCAGGGGAACAAGAAUCAACGGCAGGCGAUGGGAACCGGACGGAGGUCCUUGCGGAAAAGGAAAAUUCAAGAUACUGCCGGAAAAGGGAGAGAGAAUAAAUUUCUGGCCCCGUCAGCAAAAAUGGACGAGAAACAGACACCUCAUAGGAUACCUGCAUACCUACGGAGCAGCCACUCUUGCCAGAAAGAUAGUGCUGAGAGCUCUGAUGCACAAGGAAAGAAGUCAAGGGGCCGGAAUCGAGCUGUAGCUAUUAUAACCUUACCUCCUGGCGAGAAAUUUCCUCUCUUGAUUAAUAAGUUAGGGCAGCCAUAUGGAUCACAUGCCAAAGAUUUGACACGCUAUGUGGGAGUUCUAGCUCGAGAUCCAAAUAAGGCGCCACUCAUUUACCAUACAUGGCGUGAGUUGCCAGUUCGUUAUAAAGAUGACGUGUGGUUGCAAAUAAAGAACAAAUUCGAACUCCCAAACAGUAAAGAUCUUCCGGAGGCAUUUCGGUGCUAUGUGAUGGAUUCUUUCAAGAAAAAAUUGAGUGACUGGAGGUGUGUACUUCGGAACAUUUACAACAUUCAUGAUGCCCAAGAUGCACGCCUGCAAGCUUGCCCCAAGGAUAUUCCUCAGGAUCAGUGGAGAUCUCUCAUGGAGUACUUUGAUACUAAGAAGUCAAAAGACCAAAGUUCUAGGAACGCGAACAAUCGUGCACGGCAGACGAUGCUUCACACUUUGGGGACAAAGAGCUUGGCAUGUUUUCGUGCAGAACAGUCCACCGAGGACAGUGAUGGCAUUGAUUUGCCUCGACUUGAUGUGUGGAUUAAAACGCACACAAGUGACCGAUUUCCAAAAGGGACGAAAGGCGCUGCCCCUAUAAUUGAUAGACUUAGAAACCAAGCAUCACAGCUGCUAAUGGAUAUGAGUGAAGUUUCAAACCCUAAUAACGAUGUGCUCUCGCAAGAGCUCUCUAAGGAUUAUGUUGGGCGUGCUCGUACAUAUGGGCUUGGUGCACAUGUUGGGGAUAUCGAUGGAUCUAAGCCAAGCAAAAAAUCACUUAUGUUGCAAAAUGAAGCACUCAAGCAGAAACUAAGUCAACUUGAAGAAGAAGCACUUAUGUUGCAAAAUGAUGAACUCUCGCAGAGAAUAAGGCGCCUUGAGCAGUUCAUGGAGGCACGAGGAUGGCGCAGCAAUGAUGCAUAGGCUAAGGAACGGCAACUAUCAGUUCAACAGCCUUCAACAUGCAUAUGUUAUGCACCUCUUGAGCUAUAUGGUUUGGGUUACAUGCUUUUUGACGUUGACCUCUCAAAGCUUGGAAUCAAAUGAAAAUCAUUAGAUGGGAUGUGUCUUCUAUGUAAAUUCAAUUGGAUUUACCCUACCUGAUCUGUGAGUUGGCUAAGUCAUUACAGCAGAUUAAUAAGUCUAAUCUUGCUACAAGUCAUAAGGAAGUUCUGAAUCAGAGGAAUAAGUCAGGUAAGCAUAAUGAUCUGCCUUUAAAUUUAACUUCUUGCUCUAUGCCUUGGACCACUGAUAGUGGAGCAUGCUCCCAUGUUAGGCCAUGUGGUUGGUAAAUUCACUCAGCCAUAGAGAAUCAAAUUUCUAGGUAAUUUGUGUAAAUGUUCUUGAUAUUUCGUAUUGUUAUUAGCCACAGCAUAGCGAUUGGAAUCCCUUAUCUUACUUUCAUAUUGGUGGCACAUUAGGUCUGACAUUCUCAAGUUUUCCGUUUGAAUGGGCAGCAUCAUUUACAAGUUAUCCUCACUUUAGCCUAGCACUAGCAGACUAUAUAAUAACGCAAGUAUGCAAACUUCUGACAAUCUGACUAAUUUUCAUAUCUCUCUACACUUUCUUAUAUGGUUGAACAUUUUCACAUAAGCCAUAAAAAAAAGGUGCAGGUUAUUGGUGGUCUUGUAAAGUCAUAAUGCUUCCUCUAGUAGCAUUGAAGACUAAGCCUUGCAUUCUAUGUUUUCACACAUUUUGAAACUGUUCCAGAAUCAACUGGAAUAGGAAGCAAACUUUAUGCAGCUAUAGUAGCUGCAGUUCUGGUUAGUCAGUAUUCCCUUUAUGAUGCUGCAGCACGUCUGACAGAGGAAACAAGGGGAGCAGACAAAAAUUGAAAGGUUCUUCUGUUCGUCAUACCUCAAUAUGACGGUGUGGUGCUCUUUAUUGCUCAUAAAUGACUGACGUUUGAUACAGUUUAUAGAAUCUAAAUUGUUUGUGAGAUGAUAAUGAGACGGCCAGUGCUUUGGUGUCUCCACAGAUACUUUAUGAUGCAUUCUAUGCGAGGCACCAAAGUCCAGCCGGUGUCGUAGUUUUUUCUCUAUCCAGGUGGGGAUCAUUUUUCUAGUGGCCUUUCAUUUAUUAAUGCUGCUAAAGUGAUAUACAAGAUCGUUAUAAUUCAGUGUAUCCAUGGUGUUGUGCUCUUUAUCACAUCUGGCUGUGUAUUCGAGAUGUCAUUUUUCAGAAGUUGAAUGUCAUGUUUCUUACAAGCAUGUUUCAGCUACAAACUAUUGACAGUGACACCUGAUGAAGAUAUGCUUCUUGCAAGAUUUGCAUAUGGCCUUCCAGUUUCAGGAUUGCAAUGGGUGUCAGGUUGGCAUUGAACACAAUUAUCAUAACUGUUAGAAGAUUUGAGCAUGAAUGCACUAAUUAGGAAAUCUAGGGUUUUAUUUAUGUUCCCCACUGGCUUAAACCCUACCGUACUGGAUGAAGAUUUGGUACCAAUUAAAGAAUUUUCUUAGUUAAUAGGGUUAGUGAACAUGUUGAACAAGCCAAGGGUUUGCUAAUUUGCAUGUAUACCAAGUUCAACUUUGGGCUUGUAACGUUGUGCACAAGUCUUUAGAAGUGCAGUUCCGAAUACCUUUUUGAGAAAGGCUAGUCUUCUAAAUGUUUCUACAACAUAUAUUUUUAACUUUGAGUGAUGCAGCAGAGACAGAGGGAGAGUAUGAUUCAGGAAUCUUGCACUGCUAUAUGUAAAAGGAGUACGGAUGUGUUUUGUGUUGCUUCAUGUCAUUCAUUUUUCAUUUCUAAUUUUUUGCUUUUCUGGUGAUCAUAUUUAUCUGCUACAGAAUAGUUUUGCAGACAAGGCUGCCAAAAGUGAUUGUAAAUCUUCCUAUCAAGAGGCUCAAGGAUGUUUAGUCAGGUGGCAUGCAUGGAUUAUCCUAGCAGGUUAUAUGUUGUGCUUUCAACAAAGGGAAGGCAUGUACGGAGUCUCUCUCCCAUGACAUGCAAGCUUGUCGGGCUGCAUGUCGUAGUGUGGGGAGGAUCCUUUCAUGCCUUCCCAUGUUAAUGCAUUAUGGCAAGUCGACUUUCAUUUCAGUUGUAAGCUGGUUUUUGUUGAAACAGGGCCGGCCGAAAUAUUCCCCGGUGUAGAUCUGUAGUGGUGAAUCAUGUUGCCAGGCAAAGUCUAUAGGUUGAUGAUCACCGGUAUAAAGGCUUGUACCGGUGAUGUCAAGGCCAACUACUGCGGCGGGCCAUUAGACUCAAAGCCUCACCAAAAAGGUGCAAGUUUACCUCUAGUAGAUGUUAAAAAUCACUAGGGAAGAACUUGUUAUUUGGUUCCCUGUGGGUCCAACUCCCAAAAAAUUGCCAGAAGCCUUACAUAUUUAAAUUAAAUUGGCACCUCACGCAUUAAAAAUAUCAUUCAUAACGCUACUCUACUCAAGUGCGACCAAAAAUAUCAUUUAGGUUCCAGAUUUUAGGAAAUCAUGAGACCAUGUAGAGCAAAUUGUUGCUAGCAACUAAAUCUAGAAAAAAAAAAACAUAACUUUUGAAUGCCCAUGCUGCUAGAUUAUGCGUAAAAUGCAUCCAGGUGUUUAACUAUGACCUUGAACAUGAAAGUCUCAACUUCUUCGCCAUGUAGUCAAAGAUCUUGUGUUGAUAGUGAUGGUAACGCCUAUUUUUCGUUUA